GACGGGUAUCCGGCCUGAGAGGGUGAACGGACACACUGGAACUGAGACACGGUCCAGACUCCUACGGGAGGCAGCAGUAGGGAAUAUUGCUCAAUGGGGGAAACCCUGAAGCAGCAACGCCGCGUGGAGGAUGAAGGUU
RNAcentral lists this ribosomal RNA (139 nucleotides) under uncultured Helicobacter sp. RNAcentral's name for it is "partial 16S ribosomal RNA". It matches the Rfam family "Bacterial small subunit ribosomal RNA", at positions 278 to 416 of the family's 1533-position model. The record is from RNAcentral. Lineage: Bacteria; Pseudomonadati; Campylobacterota; Epsilonproteobacteria; Campylobacterales; Helicobacteraceae.